RNAcentral lists this ribosomal RNA (1158 nucleotides) under Acinetobacter baumannii 1032241. RNAcentral describes it as "bacterial SSU rRNA". It matches the Rfam family "Bacterial small subunit ribosomal RNA", at positions 8 to 1161 of the family's 1533-position model. The record is from RNAcentral. Lineage: Bacteria; Pseudomonadati; Pseudomonadota; Gammaproteobacteria; Moraxellales; Moraxellaceae.
AGAGUUUGAUCAUGGCUCAGAUUGAACGCUGGCGGCAGGCUUAACACAUGCAAGUCGAGCGGGGGAAGGUAGCUUGCUACCGGACCUAGCGGCGGACGGGUGAGUAAUGCUUAGGAAUCUGCCUAUUAGUGGGGGACAACAUCUCGAAAGGGAUGCUAAUACCGCAUACGUCCUACGGGAGAAAGCAGGGGAUCUUCGGACCUUGCGCUAAUAGAUGAGCCUAAGUCGGAUUAGCUAGUUGGUGGGGUAAAGGCCUACCAAGGCGACGAUCUGUAGCGGGUCUGAGAGGAUGAUCCGCCACACUGGGACUGAGACACGGCCCAGACUCCUACGGGAGGCAGCAGUGGGGAAUAUUGGACAAUGGGGGGAACCCUGAUCCAGCCAUGCCGCGUGUGUGAAGAAGGCCUUAUGGUUGUAAAGCACUUUAAGCGAGGAGGAGGCUACUUUAGUUAAUACCUAGAGAUAGUGGACGUUACUCGCAGAAUAAGCACCGGCUAACUCUGUGCCAGCAGCCGCGGUAAUACAGAGGGUGCGAGCGUUAAUCGGAUUUACUGGGCGUAAAGCGUGCGUAGGCGGCUUAUUAAGUCGGAUGUGAAAUCCCCGAGCUUAACUUGGGAAUUGCAUUCGAUACUGGUGAGCUAGAGUAUGGGAGAGGAUGGUAGAAUUCCAGGUGUAGCGGUGAAAUGCGUAGAGAUCUGGAGGAAUACCGAUGGCGAAGGCAGCCAUCUGGCCUAAUACUGACGCUGAGGUACGAAAGCAUGGGGAGCAAACAGGAUUAGAUACCCUGGUAGUCCAUGCCGUAAACGAUGUCUACUAGCCGUUGGGGCCUUUGAGGCUUUAGUGGCGCAGCUAACGCGAUAAGUAGACCGCCUGGGGAGUACGGUCGCAAGACUAAAACUCAAAUGAAUUGACGGGGGCCCGCACAAGCGGUGGAGCAUGUGGUUUAAUUCGAUGCAACGCGAAGAACCUUACCUGGCCUUGACAUACUAGAAACUUUCCAGAGAUGGAUUGGUGCCUUCGGGAAUCUAGAUACAGGUGCUGCAUGGCUGUCGUCAGCUCGUGUCGUGAGAUGUUGGGUUAAGUCCCGCAACGAGCGCAACCCUUUUCCUUACUUGCCAGCAUUUCGGAUGGGAACUUUAAGGAUACUGCCAGUGACAA